Molecule: ribosomal RNA, 238 nt
Filed under: uncultured bacterium
Lineage: Bacteria
Description: partial 16S ribosomal RNA
Rfam family: Bacterial small subunit ribosomal RNA
Source: RNAcentral
CCGGCACGGGUGAGUAACACGUAUCCAACCUGCCGUCUACUCUUGGACAGCCUUCUGAAGGAAGAUUAAUACAAGAUGGCAUCAUGAGUUCACAUGUCCGCAUGAUUAAAGGUAUUUUCCGGUAGACGAUGGGGAUGCGUUCCAUUAGAUAGUAGGCGGGGUAACGGCCCACCUAGUCUUCGAUGGAUAGGGGUUCUGGGAGGAAGGUCCCCCACAUUGGAACUGAGACACGGUCCAA